GAAUGGAGGACUAUUCAUAUAUCUUUCUUUUUUUUUGCGGGGGAGGACUAUUCAUAUAUCAACAAACAUCCUCCCACAAACCCACUGUUCAGCCCGAAGACCCACCCAGCAGCCACAGCGAGGCUCUAAGCUUACAAAAUCUCAGUGGCAUCGGCUCACUGUGAAGGGAAGAAAAGGCGUCUAAAAAUUAACUCUCUUGCCCACAUAAUGUACCAACAGUAAUGACAUCAAUGAUAGUGGAUUGCACAAUUUGAGUGCAGUACCACCAACACAAUGCUCUAACAAAUAUAUUCAAGUACAUUCACAAUAGGGAGGCAAAUGAAGUUGAUCUUGUAUGCACAAAAUGGUGUCUGCUGGAGGAGGCAAACUUGCAAUAACAAAUCUGAAAUUCAAACAGGCUAUAACUGAUUUGCUCAAAUCUUACCAUAACAAAUCUGACCACCAUACAGGUUAUAACUGGUUUGCUCAAAUCUGAACCUAUUCAGACAACAUGUUUUGCUCUGUGUAGCAGGCAGACUGCCAAUCACAUCCAUGGUGGUCCUCAACACCCCCUUGUACCUAUUGUCAUGCCCAUGGCCUGCAGUCAAGAAAGCUCUUAAAUUCAUAGUAGUUGCUCGAAGCAAAGUCGGCAUCCUUAUCUCUUAGGUAGUUCACUGCCAAAACAAAGUAUAUACAGGAAAGCAAAAGGCUAAGAGGGACAUGCAAAAGCUUGUAACAGCAGAAGAAACCAUACUGAAAUAUUGUAGUGCACAACCAUUUUAUAAGAAACAAUCGAGCCUAGUAACCAAACCACCAUUGUAAUUGUUUACAUGAAUAAAAGGCAUAAGUUUUGUGUGGAUAAAGGCUAGCUCUUUUGUUGGAACAACCACCGGUCGAACGAUUCAUAGGGGAACCGAAAAACUAAUAACAGAAGCUGGGAAACAAAAUGUAUACCUGAGCAGAACUGGAUGUGUAUCAUUCUUCACUAAUGCCCCAUACCUCACUAAGCUUCUCACAAUUACCAAGACUACCUGCACAGGUGGACAGAAACAAACAAUAAAAGCUAGCACCACACUAAAAAACAGUCAUAGCAAAGCAUUCUGAAGCACAACAAUUGCCAGCUCAUAUGCAUCUGCUAAAUAACUUACUAACAUGAAUUCUUCACUGUAUACGCCACUUACAUCUAUACAACGUACUCCCUCUGUCCCAAAAUAAGUGUCUUAACUUUAUACUAACUUUAGUACAAAGUUGUGCUAUAGUUAAGACACUUAUUUUGGGAUGGAGGGGGUAUCAUUCAUUAUCCAGUCUAUGCAUCACUUCACUGCAUAGAUGUAAAGGAAUGCCCGUGCAGGUGAUAAUGUGUAAGGUAAAGCAUGCCAUAACUGAAAAUGUGAGAGUAAGUGUAUUAUGGAAAAGCCUACACAAAUUAACCAGGCGAACUCUAAAACUGGAAGCAAAUUAAAAUCGUGAAAUUAGACAUCAACUAUUUAUCAAAUGCACAUCACUGUAGGACAUCAAGAAAGGAAAAUGAGGAAUUAUUAUCUCUAUUGGCCAUGGCAAGAAAAGAGUUGCAGAGGAAUUACAUCAGUCAAAGCGAUGAACAAACCCAGGAAAAGAGGCCGUCAAGGUCACGGGGGCUGAGCCAGGGCAGCACGUCCGAG
RNAcentral lists this long non-coding RNA (1640 nucleotides) under Triticum aestivum (bread wheat). RNAcentral describes it as "long non-coding RNA (TAES_LNC006814)". Lineage: Eukaryota; Viridiplantae; Streptophyta; Magnoliopsida; Poales; Poaceae. The record is from RNAcentral.